UACGGGGGGAGCAAGCGUUGUUCGGAUUUACUGGGCGUAAAGGGCGCGUAGGCGGCCAGCACAAGUCAGUUGUGAAAUCUCCGAGCUUAACUCGGAACGGUCAACUGAUACUGUGCGGCUAGAGUGCGGAAGGGGCAACUGGAAUUCUUGGUGUAGCGGUGAAAUGCGUAGAUAUCAAGAGGAACACCCGCGGCGAAGGCGGGUUGCUGGGCCGACACUGACGCUGAGGCGCGAAAGCCAGGGGAGCGAACGGG
RNAcentral lists this ribosomal RNA (254 nucleotides) under uncultured bacterium. RNAcentral describes it as "partial 16S ribosomal RNA". It matches the Rfam family "Bacterial small subunit ribosomal RNA", at positions 524 to 776 of the family's 1533-position model. The record is from RNAcentral.